RNAcentral lists this ribosomal RNA (484 nucleotides) under uncultured bacterium. Its description in RNAcentral is "partial 16S ribosomal RNA". It matches the Rfam family "Bacterial small subunit ribosomal RNA", at positions 30 to 507 of the family's 1533-position model. The record is from RNAcentral.
AUUGAACGCUGGCGGCAGGCCUAACACAUGCAAGUCGAGCGGAUGAGUGGAGCUUGCUCCAUGAUUCAGCGGCGGACGGGUGAGUAAUGCCUAGGAAUCUGCCUGGUAGUGGGGGACAACGUUUCGAAAGGAACGCUAAUACCGCAUACGUCCUACGGGAGAAAGUGGGGGAUCUUCGGACCUCACGCUAUCAGAUGAGCCUAGGUCGGAUUAGCUAGUUGGUGAGGUAAAGGCUCACCAAGGCGACGAUCCGUAACUGGUCUGAGAGGAUGAUCAGUCACACUGGAACUGAGACACGGUCCAGACUCCUACGGGAGGCAGCAGUGGGGAAUAUUGGACAAUGGGCGAAAGCCUGAUCCAGCCAUGCCGCGUGUGCGAAGAAGGUCUUCGGAUUGUAAAGCACUUUAAGUUGGGAGGAAGGGCAGUAAGUUAAUACCUUGCUGUUUUGACGUUACCAACAGAAUAAGCACCGGCUAACUUCGUG